AGUGGGAUAGCUGGGUCAAAUGAUGAUUCCAUUCCAAGUUUUCCAGGGAAUCUCCAUACUGCUUUCCAAAUUAUUUGCACCAUUUGCAGUCCUACCAGCAAU
This 102-nucleotide microRNA precursor is filed under the name Marmota monax (woodchuck). The record is from RNAcentral. Lineage: Eukaryota; Metazoa; Chordata; Mammalia; Rodentia; Sciuridae.